RNAcentral lists this ribosomal RNA (476 nucleotides) under uncultured bacterium. RNAcentral's name for it is "bacterial SSU rRNA". It matches the Rfam family "Bacterial small subunit ribosomal RNA", at positions 26 to 518 of the family's 1533-position model. The record is from RNAcentral.
AGGACGAACGCUGGCGGCGUGCCUAACACAUGCAAGUCGAGCGAGGAGAUUCCUUCGGGAUGAUCCUAGCGGCGGACGGGUGAGUAACACGUGGGCAACCUGCCUCAUAGAGAGGAAUAGCCUUCCGAAAGGGAGAUUAAUACCUCAUAACAUUGCAGUUUCGCAUGGAACAGCAAUUAAAGGAGCAAUCCGCUAUGAGAUGGGCCCGCGGCGCAUUAGCUAGUUGGUGAGGUAACGGCUCACCAAGGCGACGAUGCGUAGCCGACCUGAGAGGGUGAUCGGCCACAUUGGGACUGAGACACGGCCCAGACUCCUACGGGAGGCAGCAGUGGGGAAUAUUGCACAAUGGGGGAAACCCUGAUGCAAGCAACGCCGCGUGAGUGAUGACGGCCUUCGGGUUGUAAAGCUCUGUCUUCAGGGACGAUAAUGACGGUACCUGAGGAGGAAGCCACGGCUAACUACGUGCCAGCAGCCGC